GAUGAAGAACGUAGCGAAAUGCGAUAAGUAAUGUGAAUUGCAGAAUUCAGUGAAUUAUCGAAUCUUUGAACGCACAUUGCGCCCGCCAGUAUUCUGGCGGGCAUGCCUGUUCGAGCGUCAUUACAACCCUCAGGCCCCCGGGCCUGGCGUUGGGGAUCGGCGGAGCCCCCCGUGGGCACACGCCGUCCCCCAAAUGCAGUGGCGGUCCCGCCGCAGCUUCCAUCGCGUAGUAGCUAACACCUCGCGACUGGAGAGCGGCGCGGCCACGCCGUAAACACCCAACUCUUCUGAAGUUGACCUCGAAUCAGGUAGGAAUACCCGCUGAACUUAAGCAUAUCAAUAAGCGGAGGA
Molecule: unclassified non-coding RNA, 351 nt
Filed under: soil metagenome
Description: partial contains 5.8S ribosomal RNA, internal transcribed spacer 2, and large subunit ribosomal RNA
Rfam family: 5.8S ribosomal RNA (bases 1-120)
Source: RNAcentral